This 440-nucleotide ribosomal RNA is filed under the name uncultured bacterium. RNAcentral's name for it is "partial 16S ribosomal RNA". It matches the Rfam family "Bacterial small subunit ribosomal RNA", at positions 338 to 795 of the family's 1533-position model. The record is from RNAcentral.
CCUACGGGCGGCAGCAGUGGGGGAUAUUGCACAAUGGGGGAAACCCUGAUGCAGCGACGCCGCGUGAGUGAAGAAGUAUUUCUGGAUGGAAAGCUCUAUCAGCAGGGGAGAAAAUGACAGUACCUGACCAAGAAGCCCCGUCUAACUACGGGCCAGCAGCCGCGGUAAUGCGUAGGGGGCAAGCGUUAUCCGGAUUUACUGGGUGUAAAGGGGGCGUAGGCGGUUCUGUAAGUCUGGAGUGAAAGCCCGGGGCCCAACCCCGGGACUGCUUUGGAAACUGGGGAACUGGAGUACAGGAGGGGCAGGCGGAAUUCCUGGUGUAGCGGUGAAAUGCGUAGAUAUCAGGAGGAACACCGGCGGCGAAGGCGGCCUGCUGGACUGAAACUGACGUUGAGGCUCGAAAGCGUGGGGAGCAAACAGGAUUAGAUACCCCUGUAGUC